GACGAACGCUGGCGGCGUGCCUAAUACAUGCAAGUAGAACGCUGAAGAGAGGAGCUUGCUCUUCUUGGAUGAGUUGCGAACGGGUGAGUAACGCGUAGGUAACCUGCCUUGUAGCGGGGGAUAACUAUUGGAAACGAUAGCUAAUACCGCAUAACAAUGGAUGAAACAUGUCAUUUCUUUGAAAGGGGCAAUUGCUCCACUACAAGAUGGACCUGCGUUGUAUUAGCUAGUAGGUGAGGUAACGGCUCACCUAGGCGACGAUACAUAGCCGACCUGAGAGGGUGAUCGGCCACACUGGGACUGAGACACGGCCCAGACUCCUACGGGAGGCAGCAGUAGGGAAUCUUCGGCAAUGGGGGCAACCCUGACCGAGCAACGCCGCGUGAGUGAAGAAGGUUUUCGGAUCGUAAAGCUCGGUUGUAAGUCAAGAACGAGUGUGAGAGUGGAAAGUUCACACUGUGACGGUAGCUUACCAGAAAGGGACGGCUAACUACGUG
This 497-nucleotide ribosomal RNA is filed under the name uncultured bacterium. Its description in RNAcentral is "partial 16S ribosomal RNA". It matches the Rfam family "Bacterial small subunit ribosomal RNA", at positions 28 to 507 of the family's 1533-position model. The record is from RNAcentral.